Molecule: ribosomal RNA, 253 nt
Filed under: uncultured bacterium
Lineage: Bacteria
Description: partial 16S ribosomal RNA
Rfam family: Bacterial small subunit ribosomal RNA
Source: RNAcentral
UACAGAGGGUGCGAGCGUUAAUCGGAUUUACUGGGCGUAAAGGGUGUGUAGGUGGCUUAACAAGUCGGUUGUGAAAUCCCCGGGCUUAACCUGGGAAUUGCUUCCGAGACUGUUAGGCUAGAGUACGGUAGAGGGCGGUGGAAUUUCCGGUGUAGCGGUGAAAUGCGUAGAUAUCGGAAGGAACACCAAUGGCGAAGGCAGCCGCCUGGGCCUGUACUGACACUGAGACACGAAAGCGUGGGGAUCAAACAGG